UGGGGGAUAUUGCACAAUGGGCGAAAGCCUGAUGCAGCGACGCCGCGUGGGGGACGAAGGCCUUCGGGUUGUAAACUUCUUUUGCUCUGAACAAGGCGCACCAUGGGGUGUGUUGAGUGUAGGGGUUGAUUAGCGCCGGCUAACUACGUGCCAGCAGCCGCGGUAAUACGUAGGGCGCGAGCGUUGUCCGGAAUUAUUGGGCGUAAAGGGCUUGUAGGUGGCUGGUUGCGUCUGUCGUGAAAGCUCAUGGCUUAACUGUGGGUUUGCGGUGGGUACGGGCUGGCUUGAGUGCAGUAGGGGAGGCUGGAAUUCCUGGUGUAGCGGUGGAAUGCGCAGAUAUCAGGAGGAAUACCGGUGGCGAAGGCGGGUCUCUGGGCUGUUACUGACACUGAGGAGCGAAAGCAUGGGGAGCGAACAGG
This 419-nucleotide ribosomal RNA is filed under the name bacterium. RNAcentral describes it as "partial 16S ribosomal RNA". It matches the Rfam family "Bacterial small subunit ribosomal RNA", at positions 355 to 776 of the family's 1533-position model. The record is from RNAcentral.